Molecule: ribosomal RNA, 257 nt
Filed under: uncultured prokaryote
Description: partial 16S ribosomal RNA
Rfam family: Bacterial small subunit ribosomal RNA
Source: RNAcentral
UACGGAGGGUCCAAGCGUUAUCCGGAUUUAUUGGGUUUAAAGGGUGCGCAGGCGGUUCGUUAAGUUAGAGGUGAAAUCCCGUGGCUCAACCACGGAACUGCCUCUGAUACUGGCGGGCUAGAGAGAGGUUGCUGUGGGCGGAAUGUGUGGUGUAGCGGUGAAAUGCUUAGAGAUCACACAGAACACCGAUUGCGAAGGCAGCUCACAAAGCCUCAUCUGACGCUCAUGCACGAAAGCGUGGGGAGCAAACAGGAUUA